GAAAUGCGAUAAGUAGAGUGAAUUGAAGAAUUCAGUGAAUCAUCGAAUCUUUGAACGCACAUUGCGCCCCUUGGUAUUCCAUGGGGCAUGCCUGUUCGAGCGUCAUUUGUACCCUCAAGCUCUGCUUGGUGUUGGGUGUUUGUCCCGUCUCCGCGCGUGGACUCGCCCCAAAGUGAUUGGCAGCCGGCGUACUGGUCCCGGAGCGCAGCACAUGUCGCGCAAACGAGUGCCUUGGUACGGCGGCGUCCAUAAGCCCCUCUCUCACGCUCUUGACCUCGGAUCAGGUAGUGUUACCCGCUGAACUUAAGC
This 309-nucleotide unclassified non-coding RNA is filed under the name plant metagenome. RNAcentral describes it as "partial contains 5.8S ribosomal RNA, internal transcribed spacer 2, and large subunit ribosomal RNA". The stretch from base 1 to 105 matches the Rfam family "5.8S ribosomal RNA", at positions 50 to 154 of the family's 154-position model. The record is from RNAcentral.